This 146-nucleotide unclassified non-coding RNA is filed under the name uncultured Ascomycota. RNAcentral's name for it is "sequence contains ITS1". The record is from RNAcentral. Lineage: Eukaryota; Fungi; Ascomycota.
CUGAGUGAGCGUCCUCGGGCGCGACCUCCAACCCUUUUGUAUUCCGACCAUGUUGCCUCGGGGGUGACCCGGCCUUCGGGCGUCGGGGCCCCCGGUGGACCUAUAACUCUGCAUCUCUGCGUCUGAGUAUGAUAUUGAAUCAAUCA